GAGGAACUGAUGUCUAAUUCCAUGCGAAAACUUGGAACCCCCAAGAGAAAAGUUGAUAAAAAAUUAUGACCCCCUAUUUUUUUACUGAAAAUUUUUUGACCCCUCAUCCUAACUAUUAAUCCACACGGUGUCGUUUCCAUAGUGUUUCAGGGCCGUAGGAAGCUCUUUUUUAUUGGGGCUGAAAGCGAGGGCAGAAGGCCCGAGAAAAUUUUUAAAUCUAGAGUCUCUAAAACGCCAUUUCCUGGCCUUUGGGGGAAG
Molecule: non-coding RNA, 258 nt
Organism: Paramuricea clavata
Lineage: Eukaryota; Metazoa; Cnidaria; Anthozoa; Malacalcyonacea; Plexauridae
Source: the annotation of a GenBank genome assembly